AUUGAACGCUGGCGGCAUGCCUUACACAUGCAAGUCGAACGGCAGCACGGAGCUUGCUCUGGUGGCGAGUGGCGAACGGGUGAGUAAUAUAUCGGAACGUACCCUAGAGUGGGGGAUAACGUAGCGAAAGUUACGCUAAUACCGCAUACGAUCUAAGGAUGAAAGCGGGGGAUCGCAAGACCUCAUGCUCGUGGAGCGGCCGAUAUCUGAUUAGCUAGUUGGUAGGGUAAAAGCCUACCAAGGCAUCGAUCAGUAGCUGGUCUGAGAGGACGACCAGCCACACUGGAACUGAGACACGGUCCAGACUCCUACGGGAGGCAGCAGUGGGGAAUUUUGGACAAUGGGCGAAAGCCUGAUCCAGCAAUGCCGCGUGAGUGAAGAAGGCCUUCGGGUUGUAAAGCUCUUUUGUCAGGGAAGAAACGGUGAGAGCUAAUAUCUCUUGCUAAUGACGGUACCUGAAGAAUAAGCACCGGCUAACUACGUGCCAGCAGCCGCGGUAAUACGUAGGGUGCAAGCGUUAAUCGGAAUUACUGGGCGUAAAGCGUGCGCAGGCGGUUUUGUAAGUCUGAUGUGAAAUCCCCGGGCUCAACCUGGGAAUUGCAUUGGAGACUGCAAGGCUAGAAUCUGGCAGAGGGGGGUAGAAUUCCACGUGUAGCAGUGAAAUGCGUAGAUAUGUGGAGGAACACCGAUGGCGAAGGCAGCCCCCUGGGUCAAGAUUGACGCUCAUGCACGAAAGCGUGGGGAGCAAACAGGAUUAGAUACCCUGGUAGUCCACGCCCUAAACGAUGUCUACUAGUUGUCGGGUCUUAAUUGACUUGGUAACGCAGCUAACGCGUGAAGUAGACCGCCUGGGGAGUACGGUCGCAAGAUUAAAACUCAAAGGAAUUGACGGGGACCCGCACAAGCGGUGGAUGAUGUGGAUUAAUUCGAUGCAACGCGAAAAACCUUACCUACCCUUGACAUGGCUGGAAUCCCCGAGAGAUCAGGGAGUGCUCGAAAGAGAACCAGUACACAGGUGCUGCAUGGCUGUCGUCAGCUCGUGUCGUGAGAUGUUGGGUUAAGUCCCGCAACGAGCGCAACCCUUGUCAUUAGUUGCUACGAAAGGGCACUCUAAUGAGACUGCCGGUGACAAACCGGAGGAAGGUGGGGAUGACGUCGAGUCCUCAUGGCCCUUAUGGGUAGGGCUUCACACGUCAUACAAUGGUACAUACAGAGCGCCGCCAACCCGCGAGGGGGAGCUAAUCGCAGAAAGUGUAUCGUAGUCCGGAUUGUAGUCUGCAACUCGACUGCAUGAAGUUGGAAUCGCUAGUAAUCGCGGAUCAGCAUGUCGCGGUGAAUACGUUCCCGGGUCU
RNAcentral lists this ribosomal RNA (1352 nucleotides) under uncultured bacterium. Its description in RNAcentral is "bacterial SSU rRNA". It matches the Rfam family "Bacterial small subunit ribosomal RNA", at positions 28 to 1381 of the family's 1533-position model. The record is from RNAcentral.